GAUGAACGCUGGCGGCGUGCCUAAUACAUGCAAGUAGAACGCUGAAGGAGGAGCUUGCUCUUCUGGAUGAGUUGCGCACGGGUGAGUAACGCGUAGGUAACCUGCCUGGUAGCGGGGGAUAACUAUUGGAAACGAUAGCUAAUACCGCAUGACAACAGUUAUUGCAUGAUAACUGUUUAAAAGGGGCAACUGCUCCACUACCAGAUGGACCUGCGUUGUAUUAGCUAGUUGGUGAGGUAACGGCUCAACAAGGCGACGAUACAUAGCCGACCUGGGAGGGGGAACGGCCACACUUGGACUGGAGAACCGCCCAGGCUUCCACGGGGGGCAGCAGGAGGGAAUCUUCGGGAAUGGAGGGAAGUCUGACCGAGCAAAGCCGCGUGAGUGAAGAAAGUUUUCGGAUCGGAAAGCUCUGUUGUAAGAGAAGAACGAGUGGGGGAGUGAAAAGUUCACACUGUGACGGUAUCUUACCAGAAAGGGACGGCUAACUACGUG
Molecule: ribosomal RNA, 495 nt
Filed under: uncultured bacterium
Lineage: Bacteria
Description: partial 16S ribosomal RNA
Rfam family: Bacterial small subunit ribosomal RNA
Source: RNAcentral